This 2973-nucleotide long non-coding RNA is filed under the name Olea europaea subsp. europaea. The stretch from base 195 to 282 matches the Rfam family "mir-156 microRNA precursor family". Lineage: Eukaryota; Viridiplantae; Streptophyta; Magnoliopsida; Lamiales; Oleaceae. The record is from RNAcentral.
AUCAAAACCAGUACUUUCCUCUCUAAUGGAACAGUAUUAGUUAUAAGGAGAGUUUUCAAAUUGAAUAAUGCUAUUAAUGUUGCUAAAUAGCAUUACUCUUUCAAAUUAGGGUUUCAUACUGCAACAUCUUCGUUCCCCCUCCCUGCUGAUUAGUUCAUAGUUAUGGCGACAACUUCAGUUAAGGGGUAAAGGAGGUGACAGAAGAGAGUGAGCACACAUGGUGUUUUCUUGUAUGAUAUUCUCCAUGCUUGAAGCUAUGGGUGCUCACCCUCUUUCUGUCACCCCACCACUCUCUCUCUCUCUCUCUCACUCACACGCGCACACACACUCAGAGUCUCACAAAUCUUGUUUACCGCAUAUUGUUUAAAAAUAAUUUUGUAUUUGAAGUUACAAAGUGUCAAAUUAAUGUUUCUUUCAUUUAUUGCCCUUUUUUUGUUCUCUCAGACUCACAAUAACUUGCAGUGUUUGUGGUUUACUUUCCAAUUUGGAUUAGUUCCACGAUUUUCGUCAUGAAUGGCCAUAUCAGAAUUAUGGGAGUAGUUUCAAUUAUUAGGAACGAAGGGUGAUAGAACUUUCUUGAUAAAUCCCUUUGCCUUAUGUUGGGCACAGAAGAAAUGGUGCCUUUUGACAAACCCUAAACCCCCCCCCCCCCCUGUCAGACCAGAUCUAAUUUUACAUGAAAGUACAAUUUUCAUAAAUGAGUGCCGAGGUUUUACACAAUCUGGUACGAGGAAAAACCAAUUUAGCAGAUAUAUGGAGCACUAAUAACAUCUGUUAAAGUAAAUUCUGAUGUACUCUAGGGUUCUUAAUCUUGUUUCCUUUAUCUGUUUAAUUUUAAAGAAUAUUAUAAAUAUAACGUUCUCUUUGGUAAGGUUCUGAAGUUAAUUUUCUUAAGCAAGUUUCUGUUUUAAAUCUUGAUAAUUAGUCAUUUUCAUUUGUUUUGAGAAUUAGUGGGGACUCUCCUGCCCUCCAAUUUCCUAAAGCCUAAUUCUUGUCUCUUUAAUCUUUGACGCAACUCUUUAAUUUGCCUCUGUCAAAGGAAAAUAUAAUUCUUGUUUCUUUUUUCUUGCUUUUUUUCCUUUCUCACUUUUCUUUAUUUUUCGCUUAGCCGAGCAGUUUCUAUAAGUUGACGUAGUCUCAAGAAUUGGCUACAAACAAGAAAAAUUAUAUGGCAUACAUUAGUUUUGCCGAUGUUCAGACUAAAGGGUUAUAAUCUUCUAUAUUUCUGUCACUGUUCCACUCGCUUCUGAUUUUCCAAUUUAAUAUAUAGAUUUUGUUAGUUCUUGACCACGAAACAAGAACUAAUCUUUCAAUGUUUUUGUUUGCAAUUCAGUAGAAUUAUGUAACAGUUGCAGCUUGUGAUAGCAGUUGGAUGAAUUCUUCUAUUUGACAGUGGCAGCUUACUUCCGCUUUAUGUUGAGGUGUAAUUUUAAUUGAUUCUUAUCCAAAAGCUUUAACUGAUUCAAUAAAAUAACUGCAAAGAUUUGUUUUUUCAUAUACAAAGACCAGAUCUGUGAUUUGAACUGACUUUAGGGUUUCAAUUUACAUUGCAAUAUGCAUCUAAUUUUAUUUGAUCAGGGUAGUGUAUGUUUGUUACUUAGUUUUUCAUUGUUUUCAUAUUACUGAUAUGUGAACUAUCCGUCCGCUGAUGAAUUUUCAAGGUCCUUGAGUCAAUUCUCGAACUAAGAAUAAAUCUUUUGAAAAGCUUUCGAUUUUUAUAAUUCUUUUAACAUAUGGAGAUCGUUGAAUUGCCAGUUAAGCUGAUAUUUUUCCUCUUUAACAUUGGAUUUUUGUUCGAUUCGUGUAUAUAUUGCAGAUUUUGCAAGACCAGUACCAUUUUAAGCGAAAGAAAUAAUUGGCAGAGUUCCUCAUUCUGAUGAAAUAACAGACAAUUGGAAGGGAAAUAGAUUUAAUUUCCAUUUUGUAUUAUAUUUUAGGUUUUGAAUUUGGAAUAAUAUUGGUCACGGAGUAUUCUAUUGACAAUAUUCUUGCAUUUAUAGAUAUUAAUUGUGGGCAUUUUCAAAAGUUUGAUGUCUUAAUUUUCCGUAGUUGUUCUUUUAAGUUCAUGGUAUAAUAUAGUAUUUUGAUUUUUGCCCAUAAUGUGCGCACAUGUAAUGAUGCACGCCACAUGCAAACGAGUUCUUCUUCUUUUGCUUACUGUAAUCUCUUAAAAUAAACACAUUUCUGUUUCAAAGAUCUGUACAUAUGAAGAUGUACCUUUACAAUUUCAGCUGAAUUGUUUUCCCACAUGGCUAACUAUCCAACUGCAGCUGCCUGCUCCUGUUGCUAUAAGUUGGAAUCUAGUGUGUCUGAAAGAUUUUGCACGUCGGAUUUUUAAUUGUUUUGAGAUUUCUUGUUUAAUACUUGGGGAAAUUUUAGUACCUUAGACACGUUUACCAGGAACAAUAAGCACAUGUUUGCCAGUCCUCAUUUGGCUUGAAGUCGAGCUUGCUUUAGUGAAAAUCUCUCGGUUGUUAACACCUAUGUUAGGUCGAGCUGCUUACUGAAAAUUGAUUUUCACAUAUGCCACACACUAUCUUAGAGUCCAUAUUCUCUCUUAUUCUCCUAAAAGCACAUUGCUGAUGCAAAUAAAUAGCUCUUUUGGUUCAAUCAAUCCAGUGUAAUGUCUCUCGUGCAGUACUUUAAAAUAAGUAGAAGCACUUUCUACUUAAAAAAGAACUAUGUGAGCAUGUUUGCCCCUGAAAGAAGCUACUUCUUUUGUGGUUUAUUAAGUCUGUCUGCGCAUGCUUACUGCCAAAAUAAGCCACAAAAAGUUACUUUUUAUAUGAGGGCCUGCACUGUAUCUAAAAUCCAAACAAUGUUGUACAAAUCAACCAAGUUGGCGGAACAAUCACAUUGGGGGGCUUUGGAACCAAGUGUGGGGAGUUCAAUUCCUGGUUGAAGCAGCCAAGUGAUGUAAUAACCAGAGGAAGGGUUGGAGCAGUUUGAUGAUGUAAUAACCAUGGAGGAGGG